GGGUUGUGAGGUUAAGCGACUAAGCGUACACGGUGGAUGCCCUGGCAGUCAGAGGCGAUGAAGGACGUGCUAAUCUGCGAUAAGCGUCGGUAAGGUGAUAUGAACCGUUAUAACCGGCGAUUUCCGAAUGGGGAAACCCAGUGUGUUUCGACACACUAUCAUUAACUGAAUCCAUAGGUUAAUGAGGCGAACCGGGGGAACUGAAACAUCUAAGUACCCCGAGGAAAAGAAAUCAACCGAGAUUCCCCCAGUAGCGGCGAGCGAACGGGGAGCAGCCCAGAGCCUGAAUCAGUGUGUGUGUUAGUGGAAGCGUCUGGAAAGGCGCGCGAUACAGGGUGACAGCCCCGUACACAAAAAUGCACAUGCUGUGAGCUCGAUGAGUAGGGCGGGACACGUGGUAUCCUGUCUGAAUAUGGGGGGACCAUCCUCCAAGGCUAAAUACUCCUGACUGACCGAUAGUGAACCAGUACCGUGAGGGAAAGGCGAAAAGAACCCCGGCGAGGGGAGUGAAAAAGAACCUGAAACCGUGUACGUACAAGCAGUGGGAGCACGCUUAGGCGUGUGACUGCGUACCUUUUGUAUAAUGGGUCAGCGACUUAUAUUCUGUAGCAAGGUUAACCGAAUAGGGGAGCCGAAGGGAAACCGAGUCUUAACUGGGCGUUAAGUUGCAGGGUAUAGACCCGAAACCCGGUGAUCUAGCCAUGGGCAGGUUGAAGGUUGGGUAACACUAACUGGAGGACCGAACCGACUAAUGUUGAAAAAUUAGCGGAUGACUUGUGGCUGGGGGUGAAAGGCCAAUCAAACCGGGAGAUAGCUGGUUCUCCCCGAAAGCUAUUUAGGUAGCGCCUCGUGAAUUCAUCUCCGGGGGUAGAGCACUGUUUCGGCAAGGGGGUCAUCCCGACUUACCAACCCGAUGCAAACUGCGAAUACCGGAGAAUGUUAUCACGGGAGACACACGGCGGGUGCUAACGUCCGUCGUGAAGAGGGAAACAACCCAGACCGCCAGCUAAGGUCCCAAAGUCAUGGUUAAGUGGGAAACGAUGUGGGAAGGCCCAGACAGCCAGGAUGUUGGCUUAGAAGCAGCCAUCAUUUAAAGAAAGCGUAAUAGCUCACUGGUCGAGUCGGCCUGCGCGGAAGAUGUAACGGGGCUAAACCAUGCACCGAAGCUGCGGCAGCGACGCUUAUGCGUUGUUGGGUAGGGGAGCGUUCUGUAAGCCUGCGAAGGUGUGCUGUGAGGCAUGCUGGAGGUAUCAGAAGUGCGAAUGCUGACAUAAGUAACGAUAAAGCGGGUGAAAAGCCCGCUCGCCGGAAGACCAAGGGUUCCUGUCCAACGUUAAUCGGGGCAGGGUGAGUCGACCCCUAAGGCGAGGCCGAAAGGCGUAGUCGAUGGGAAACAGGUUAAUAUUCCUGUACUUGGUGUUACUGCGAAGGGGGGACGGAGAAGGCUAUGUUGGCCGGGCGACGGUUGUCCCGGUUUAAGCGUGUAGGCUGGUUUUCCAGGCAAAUCCGGAAAAUCAAGGCUGAGGCGUGAUGACGAGGCACUACGGUGCUGAAGCAACAAAUGCCCUGCUUCCAGGAAAAGCCUCUAAGCAUCAGGUAACAUCAAAUCGUACCCCAAACCGACACAGGUGGUCAGGUAGAGAAUACCAAGGCGCUUGAGAGAACUCGGGUGAAGGAACUAGGCAAAAUGGUGCCGUAACUUCGGGAGAAGGCACGCUGAUAUGUAGGUGAGGUCCCUCGCGGAUGGAGCUGAAAUCAGUCGAAGAUACCAGCUGGCUGCAACUGUUUAUUAAAAACACAGCACUGUGCAAACACGAAAGUGGACGUAUACGGUGUGACGCCUGCCCGGUGCCGGAAGGUUAAUUGAUGGGGUUAGCGCAAGCGAAGCUCUUGAUCGAAGCCCCGGUAAACGGCGGCCGUAACUAUAACGGUCCUAAGGUAGCGAAAUUCCUUGUCGGGUAAGUUCCGACCUGCACGAAUGGCGUAAUGAUGGCCAGGCUGUCUCCACCCGAGACUCAGUGAAAUUGAACUCGCUGUGAAGAUGCAGUGUACCCGCGGCAAGACGGAAAGACCCCGUGAACCUUUACUAUAGCUUGACACUGAACAUUGAGCCUUGAUGUGUAGGAUAGGUGGGAGGCUUAGAAGUGUGGACGCCAGUCUGCAUGGAGCCGACCUUGAAAUACCACCCUUUAAUGUUUGAUGUUCUAACGUGGACCCGUAAUCCGGGUUGCGGACAGUGUCUGGUGGGUAGUUUGACUGGGGCGGUCUCCUCCUAAAGAGUAACGGAGGAGCACGAAGGUUGGCUAAUCCUGGUCGGACAUCAGGAGGUUAGUGCAAUGGCAUAAGCCAGCUUGACUGCGAGCGUGACGGCGCGAGCAGGUGCGAAAGCAGGUCAUAGUGAUCCGGUGGUUCUGAAUGGAAGGGCCAUCGCUCAACGGAUAAAAGGUACUCCGGGGAUAACAGGCUGAUACCGCCCAAGAGUUCAUAUCGACGGCGGUGUUUGGCACCUCGAUGUCGGCUCAUCACAUCCUGGGGCUGAAGUAGGUCCCAAGGGUAUGGCUGUUCGCCAUUUAAAGUGGUACGCGAGCUGGGUUUAGAACGUCGUGAGACAGUUCGGUCCCUAUCUGCCGUGGGCGCUGGAGAACUGAGGGGGGCUGCUCCUAGUACGAGAGGACCGGAGUGGACGCAUCACUGGUGUUCGGGUUGUCAUGCCAAUGGCACUGCCCGGUAGCUAAAUGCGGAAGAGAUAAGUGCUGAAAGCAUCUAAGCACGAAACUUGCCCCGAGAUGAGUUCUCCCUGACCCUUUAAGGGUCCUGAAGGAACGUUGAAGACGACGACGUUGAUAGGCCGGGUGUGUAAGCGCAGCGAUGCGUUGAGCUAACCGGUACUAAUGAACCGUGAGGCUUAACCUUACAACGCCGAAG
This 2925-nucleotide ribosomal RNA is filed under the name Escherichia coli. RNAcentral's name for it is "23S ribosomal RNA". It matches the Rfam family "Bacterial large subunit ribosomal RNA". Lineage: Bacteria; Pseudomonadati; Pseudomonadota; Gammaproteobacteria; Enterobacterales; Enterobacteriaceae. The record is from RNAcentral.